GCUGACACAUCUUCCGUUGGCAUCAACACCACUGUGGAAGCAACCGGUGAUAUCUUAAGUCGGCAUAGAUAGCUCUGUCACCGUAGAGUCAGUCGGUCUCGCAGUAUCUUCCGUUGGCAUCAACAGCACUGCGGCGAGGACGACUGGUUACCUAUCCAAGUCUCGGUCGAGAAGGAUUUCCGAAUCCCUAUUGGUCGAGGUCAUCUCAUCAGCCUUCUCGGCGAAGUGAGGUGUUACCAGGUUACUGUAUUCGGCACAUUGACAGCCGAAUUUGAGAUUGAACUUCGCAAAUUAGCAGCCUUGUCUUCAGGCUCUAGAACCCAAGAGGCCGAGAAUUGUUCAUUCCUCGGCCGCAAUCGCAAGACACAGAAGUCAGCGGCGCGCUCGACGCAACAUCAUCAAAUUUACUCAUCGGCCGAGCUCGGCCGACGAGUUGGCACGCCCCGCAAUCACCGAAUGACGUAGUUAGCUUAGAAAAUACUCGGCCUGCGCGCCACGUAGGUUUUUGUAGUUUCUAGGGUCAACAUUUUGGCACGCCCAGUGGGACCUAGUGCUAAAACUACGAAGUUCACAUGAUAGAUCAAGAUGUCAAUCUGGCUCCAUUUAGCCGAUUGCACGAGCUCCUAGAGGAAUUGAAAAAAUACAAUGAGGAACAAAAAAGAUCUUUGGAAGUGGAAAAAGUUCUUCGUGGCCAUAGAGAGAUGCAAAAGUCAUUCGCUUACAUGGUGAGAAUAAAAGCUCCUGUUACCUUGCAAGAGCAAUGGGUAAAUGAAGACAAGGCUCGAUUUAAUGCAUGGCUAGAUGAAGAACGUUUUCCUUACGUUUCUGAUUACAGAUCAAUUCCAUUUGAAAAAUGGUUAGGUCCAAAGGUCGGGGGGCAAUUUUUCGCUCCAGCCACAAUCAAAAUUCGGCCUCAAAAAAUUGUUAAGGUGGCCGAAGAAAUAUGUAGGCCACCUGUUGUUUCGGUCGAGACUCAAAGUGUGGUAGGCCUAAAAGAAAAAGUUGAAGUUUCCGAGCCAAAAAUCGACUCAAAAAAUAAUUCGUCAGAAGAGUGCUCCAAUGACGAACAGUGCCAAGACAUGGUCUUAGAUGCCGAAACUAUGACAAUCGAUAUGGUUAUUGGUGAUAAAGCCGAUAUGGAGAAAUCUCAUUCGGCUAAGUUGCUCGAGUUAAAAGCCAAAAUUUGUGAAAUAAUUAUGCCUGGGGGGCAUAAUAAUUGUUCAACACAUUCAGCAGCCGAUGAUAAAAAAUAUUUCGCCAAGUCAAAAAUAUUUGGAGGAAAUUCUUUAUUCAGCCUAGAGCGAAAUCAAUUUGAAGAUUUUGUUAUUACAAGAUCUCGACUUGGAAUAAAGCAUCGUUGGCCUCCUCCUGACUACGGUUCGGCCACUUUUCUUUUCGUUUGUUAAAUAUAUAUAUUAUUUUCUUAAACAUACGGCUAUGCAAGCCGAUGCGUAAGAAAAUAGGGGGCAAUGCCUCGGUAAAAAUUUUGGUCGAAUAAAAGAAAGUUUGGCCGAGUACGAUGAGUUUGGCCGCAUAUAUAUAUACCAAUUCCCCUCGGCCUCGACUUCGGCUCACUUUACAAAAUUAUAAAAGAGGCGGCCAAAGGAUUUUAGUCAGGCAUGGGACCUUUCUGCUUCGGAGCUCAUCAUUCUUUAUUGCAUCACCUCAAAUUUUCUACCAAGAUCAUGGAGUUAUGUUCCUUGCGUAUCAACAGUACAGGCCGAACCAAAAUGACGGCCUGAUAAUCUACAGUUUAAAACAACCAAUAUGGUCCGUGGAAGGCAAGAGGAUUCUGCUCUCGACCAUAUAUAUUUUCGACCAUAGCUUUGGUCAUCAAAUUAAGGUGGUUAGUCGUUAAGCCAAAAACUGUGAUAAAAAUUUGCAUGGCCGACAACAUUAUUCCAAGGCCAAGAUUUGAUUUUGUGUGUGUGUGCAUAUAUAUAUAUAUAUAUAUAUAUAUAUAUAUAUAUAUAUAUAUAUAUGCAUAGCUAAUGAUGUUGGUCUUCGGCCACUCUAAGACCUCGGCCAAUGAUGAGUCCCUCGACCACUAAGCAUAUGGCUAAUGAUCCUCGGCCACUCAAUAAUAAACCUCGGCCAACGAUGAUGUUCCUCGGCCAACUUUUUGCCGAUAUAUGUUAGCCAAGAGGGUUGGUCAAUAACAAAUACUGGGGAAAUCGCCGAGCUGGGCACAAAUGACUAAUUUCCUUAACCGUUCGGCUUACGGGCCGAAGCUCAAGGAAACUGGGGGGCAAUGUUUGGACCCGAUUUUACACCAUCGGCCCAAGUAAUCGAGACCGUUGGGUAAGCAAUUUUAAAGGAUAGUAUUAUGAUUUUUAUCGUAAUAUUUAUCCGUUAAUAUUAAUUACUCUUGGCAUAUUCUUAUUAUAUUUUCAAGCAAGCAGUACAGUUCGAGUGGGCUUGGAAUUCUUGUUAUCAGAUUGAGAUAACAUGAUGGGUGUGAUUAGAAUUGUCAAGAUGCAUGGUUUUCUUCUAUGCGUGGGAUGCCAAGAUGAAAUCUCUGAUAAUGGAGCCGCUCAUAUCCUAGAUGGGAUAAUUAUUAGCAUAAAAAUAUAUGCUAAUAUAUGCAAAUUGGUUGGCUGACUCCAUCAAAUCCUACGGCCAAGGACCAAUAAGGAUGUGGAGAUUUUGAAUUAAACAAAGUUUUAUUUGGUUGGAUAACUGCAUGAUGACCUCAUGCGAUUAUAUUUGUUUGAUCCCGUCAAACGUGGAUGCUUUUUCAUGGUCUUUUUAAAUUGGUAAUGAUCCAAUUUGAGAUAAGGGCUGAUGGGAGUUUAAUCCGCACAUGCAAACCACGCCACAUAUCAAAUACAAUUCUUUGAAGAUCAAGCCACGUCAGGCAUGCUCGUUCCUAUAAAUACAAGGCUACAAACAAUGGAAAAUGACCCCUACAAAAUCAAUACAAAAUUGCCCUGCGCAAACUCUCACAACUUGUGAUUUUUCUUUUUCCUUUCUUCGCUGACACAUCUUCCGUUGGCAUCAACACCACUGUGGAAGCAACCGGUGAUAUCUUAAGUCGGCAUAGAUAGCUCUGUCACCGUAGAGUCAGUCGGUCUCGCAGUAUCUUCCGUUGGCAUCAACAGCACUGCGGCGAGGACGACUGGUUACCUAUCCAAGUCUCGGUCGAGAAGGAUUUCCGAAUCCCUAUUGGUCGAGGUCAUCUCAUCAGCCUUCUCGGCGAAGUGAGGUGUUACCAGGUUACUGUAUUCGGC
Molecule: long non-coding RNA, 3230 nt
Filed under: Malus domestica (apple)
Lineage: Eukaryota; Viridiplantae; Streptophyta; Magnoliopsida; Rosales; Rosaceae
Description: long non-coding RNA (MDOM_LNC004158)
Source: RNAcentral